Long non-coding RNA from Parus major (Great Tit), 609 nucleotides. RefSeq lists it as uncharacterized. The transcript has 3 exons. NCBI's taxonomy places the organism in Eukaryota, Metazoa, Chordata, Aves, Passeriformes, Paridae. The record is from RefSeq and is a predicted model, not a curated record.
UGGACCAAUGCUUCUAGUUCCUGCUCUAAGCAGGAUGAAAUAACACCAUGGACAUCUUCUGUUCAGGUAGAAUUGGAGUAUUGGUGACAAACAGUCUUGGCAGGUAGUUUAACCUCCUCCCAAACACAAGUGCAAAGAUGCCUCCAAUUCUUUUCUGACAUAAGAGAAUCUGUGAGGUCCAGUGAAUCUUGGAGCUGUGUGUGUGGGUGCUUCCCUGAAGGAGUUUCCAGUGAAAUAGAUACAGCUGAGCUGACUGCAGCACUUCUUUCUAGAGCAGAGCUGUCAAGAGGAUGAAUGAAUACUAUGGUGCUGCUUGGUGCCCACUUCAGAGAGGCAAUCCUGUUCCUCCUAGUCAGUAGCAUGACGUUUUCUUCUCUGAACUGAACUGGAUUUGUAAGCCCUUAAUGUUAAAAUUUUUGUCUAAAAUUAAUAAGCAUCCACCCCCUUAAAAAUCUCAUUAAAAUUUGUUUUUGGCAGGUUGCCUCCCAGAGUCUUGACAGCACUUUGGGUGCUGAUGAUCUGAUCAGAGUGUCUUCUCAUUCCCUCCUCCUUCCCCAUCUGUUUGUAUCCACCUCUUGUGUUACAGAAAUAAACCGUUUGGGGUGAGAA